UCGAGUUUAGGGUCCUCUGGGCCCAAAUCUCUCACCCCAUGUUUAACUACUCUUGUUGCUUUGGCGGGCCGUGGCAUUCGCCCCGCCGGCCGUAGGCUGGUGCGUGCCCGUCAGAGACCCUCUUAUACAACUCUUUUAAUUUGCAUGUCUGAAUACACACAAAAUAAAGCAAA
RNAcentral lists this unclassified non-coding RNA (173 nucleotides) under uncultured fungus. RNAcentral's name for it is "sequence contains ITS1, 5.8S rRNA gene". Lineage: Eukaryota; Fungi. The record is from RNAcentral.